This 782-nucleotide ribosomal RNA is filed under the name human gut metagenome. RNAcentral's name for it is "bacterial LSU rRNA". It matches the Rfam family "Bacterial large subunit ribosomal RNA", at positions 174 to 964 of the family's 2925-position model. The record is from RNAcentral.
AGGAAGGGAACCCGGUGAACUGAAACAUCUAAGUAGCCGGAGGAAGAGAAAACAACAUGUGAUUCUGUGAGUAGCGGCGAGCGAAAACGGAAGAGCCCAAACCGGGAUGCGUGCAUGCUGGGGUUCGGACCGCGGAAUUGAUUCAACGAGUUUAGCAGAACAGUUUUGGGAAAGCCGGCCAGAGAGGGUGAAAGCCCCGUAAGCGAAAGACGAGUUGACAUGGCGGAUCCAGAGUACCACGAGACACGUGGAACCUUGUGGGAAUAUGCGGGGACCACCCGUAAGGCUAAAUACUCCUUAGUGACCGAUAGCGCAUAGUACUGUGAAGGAAAGGUGAAAAGGACCCCGGGAGGGGAGUGAAAAAGAACCUGAAACCAUAUGUUUACAAGCUGUGGAAGAGCUUUAUAUGCUCAACCGCGUACUUUUUGUAGAACGGUCCGGCGAGUUACGCUGGCUGGCGAGGUUAAGUCCUUAAGGGAUGGAGCCGAAGGGAAACCAAGUCUGAAUAGGGCGAAGAGUCAGUCGGAGUAGACCCGAAACCGGGUGAUCUAUCCAUGUCCAGGUUGAAGUUGCCGUAAAAGGCAAUGGAGGUCCGAACCCACAUCCGUUGAAAAGGGUGGGGAUGAGGUGUGGAUAGGGGAGAAAUUCCAAUCGAACCCGGAGAUAGCUGGUUCUCCUCGAAAUAGCUUUAGGGCUAGCCUCAUACAAGUCUUGCGGAGGUAGAGCACUGAAUUUCCUAGGGGGCGUCAAAGCUUACCGAAGAAUAUCAAACUCCGAAUGCC